RNAcentral lists this long non-coding RNA (248 nucleotides) under Manihot esculenta (cassava). RNAcentral's name for it is "long non-coding RNA (MESC_LNC002356)". Lineage: Eukaryota; Viridiplantae; Streptophyta; Magnoliopsida; Malpighiales; Euphorbiaceae. The record is from RNAcentral.
UAGAGAAGAUCCAUGCCUUUGUCGCGAUGAGGAUAUGAGGGUUUGCUGUAUUAAAUUAAGGAAAUUGGAAAAAGCAAUGGGGACGUUGGAUCUGCGAGAGUUGUUGUAUGGGUGAUUAGGAAUCGAGAUGGUUAACUGAGAGAUGCCGUAGAUAAGAGACGCGCCAUCACAGAGAAGUCUGGUUUAUUUGUCGUGGUGGCGGCAUGGAGAAGAAAGUUAGGGCUGAAUGUGUUAGGCUUAGAAAACUG